CCUUGGAUUCUUGUCGAAUAAGUGAUGAAAACACAGUAAAUAUGGUGACUGAUCACAACCCCAAAUUAUCUCAUUGUUUGUCCUCAAGUAAUGUUCUAAUCGACAAAGUGUGUCACUUCCCAAAACUGAAAUUUUCUUACCAUAAUAUUGCUGAGAUCUUUCGCCACACGCCUUCACUCUCCCUUUCAUGGUCCCUGCUUUUCCUAAUUGGUUUUCCGCCACACUUCCACAUAGACGUAGUAUUUCACCUGUCAGCUUAUAUCACACUCUCACAUUUCAGAAUAUGCAAUAUCGACUCAUAAAUUUGAAUUGUUUCUCCUUUCGUAUAAACUACACAUAAGACACACUUUUUGAGGUCUUUUGGGUUGUAACAUGGCUUGGGUUACAGUGGGGUAAACACAAACAAAAGGGAAAACAAGUGGUUUGGGUUAAGAGCCAAUUUAAUUAUUCUUUUCACUGUGUUUGUUCUACAUAUCAUUUCAAAUUCUUUUCUUUUUCAGUUCUAUCACUCAGUUCUUUUUUUCUUUGCUUUUUAUACCCAACUGAGUGUUUCUCAUUCAGUGAGUGCCCUUUUUUUUCGUUCCAUCAAAUUUAUUUUUUUCUUUUAUUACCUUUUUUUUUUCCGAUGGUCGUUUUUCUUAUUAUUUUUU
Molecule: long non-coding RNA, 650 nt
Filed under: Lathyrus oleraceus (garden pea)
Lineage: Eukaryota; Viridiplantae; Streptophyta; Magnoliopsida; Fabales; Fabaceae
Description: Pisum sativum (pea) long non-coding RNA (PSAT_LNC025607)
Source: RNAcentral